GGUCUUCGGACGCUGACGAGUGGAGAACGGGUGAGUAAUACAUCGCGAACGUGCCCAGUCGUGGGGGAUAACUACUCGAAAGAGUAGCUAAUACCGCAUACGAUCUGAGGAUGAAAGCGGGGGACCUUCGGGCCUCGCGCGAUUGGAGCGGCCGAUGGCAGAUUAGGUAGUUGGUGGGAUAAAAGCUUACCAAGCCGACGAUCUGUAGCUGGUCUGAGAGGACGACCAGCCACACUGGGACUGAGACACGGCCCAGACUCCUACGGGAGGCAGCAGUGGGGAAUUUUGGACAAUGGGCGAAAGCCUGAUCCAGCAAUGCCGCGUGCAGGAUGAAGGCCUUCGGGUUGUAAACUGCUUUUGUACGGAACGAAAAAGCUCCUUCUAAUACAGGGGGCCCAUGACGGUACCGUAAGAAUAAGCACCGGCUAACUACGUGCCAGCAGCCGCGGUAAUACGUAGGGUGCGAGCGUUAAUCGGAAU
RNAcentral lists this ribosomal RNA (480 nucleotides) under Delftia tsuruhatensis. Its description in RNAcentral is "bacterial SSU rRNA". It matches the Rfam family "Bacterial small subunit ribosomal RNA", at positions 75 to 551 of the family's 1533-position model. Lineage: Bacteria; Pseudomonadati; Pseudomonadota; Betaproteobacteria; Burkholderiales; Comamonadaceae. The record is from RNAcentral.